Molecule: ribosomal RNA, 488 nt
Filed under: uncultured bacterium
Lineage: Bacteria
Description: partial 16S ribosomal RNA
Rfam family: Bacterial small subunit ribosomal RNA
Source: RNAcentral
UGACCGCUGGCGGCAGGCCUAACACAUGCACAUCGAACGGUAACAGGAAGCAGCUUGCUGCUUCGCUGACGAGUGGCGGACGGGUGAGUAAUGUCUGGGAAGCUGCCUGAUGGAGGGGGAUAACUACUGGAAACGGUAGCUAAUACCGCAUAAUGUCGCAAGACCAAAGAGGGGGACCUUCGGGCCUCUUGCCAUCGGAUGUGCCCAGAUGGGAUUAGCUUGUUGGUGGGGUAACGGCUCACCAAGGCGACGAUCCCUAGCUGGUCUGAGAGGAUGACCAGCCACACUGGAACUGAGACACGGUCCAGACUCCUACGGGAGGCAGCAGUGGGGAAUAUUGCACAAUGGGCGCAAGCCUGAUGCAGCCAUGCCGCGUGUAUGAAGAAGGCCUUCGGGUUGUAAAGUACUUUCAGCGGGGAGGAAGGGAGUAAAGUUAAUACCUUUGCUCAUUGACGUUACCCGCAGAAGAAGCACCGGCUAACUCCGUG